RNAcentral lists this ribosomal RNA (268 nucleotides) under uncultured Planctomycetales bacterium. RNAcentral describes it as "partial 16S ribosomal RNA". It matches the Rfam family "Bacterial small subunit ribosomal RNA", at positions 565 to 832 of the family's 1533-position model. Lineage: Bacteria; Pseudomonadati; Planctomycetota; Planctomycetia; Planctomycetales. The record is from RNAcentral.
GAGCACGUAGGUGGGUUUGUAAGUCAGAUGUGAAAGCCUUCUGUUCAACGGAAGAAUUGCAUCUGAAACUGCGAGUCUUGAGUGUAGGAGGGGAGAACGGAACUUCUGGUGGAGCGGUGAAAUGCGUAGAUAUCAGAAGGAACGCCGGUGGCGAAGCGAUUCUCUGGCCUAUUACUGACACUCAGUGUGCGAAAGCUAGGGGAGCAAACGGGAUUAGAUACCCCGGUAGUCCUAGCCGUAAACGAUGGGCACUAAGUAGAGGGGUUUU